This is a long non-coding RNA of Cavia porcellus (domestic guinea pig), 418 nucleotides long. RefSeq lists it as uncharacterized. The transcript has 3 exons. The record is from RefSeq and is a predicted model, not a curated record. NCBI's taxonomy places the organism in Eukaryota, Metazoa, Chordata, Mammalia, Rodentia, Caviidae.
CAAUAUUUUAUGUGCUUAUCACGUAACCCCAGCAGGAAGGGCAGGGGGCUGGAGACCUCCUUUUGAGAAGCAGAGUCUUGGAAGAGAGGGCAGCUGUAGUGCGGGAUUGAACUCACGACUGCCUGCUUGAAAGGCAGGUGCUUAUGCCACUGAACUAAAUCCGCAGCCCCCUAAAAUGAUAUUUCUAAUACCAGCAAUAAGCACUCUCCGUGGACACAGGUUGUCCUGUAGAAGUUUGUGUGCUGACAUUCAGAACUACUGGAAGUCAAGAAGUUCCCACGGGGACACUACGGAGUGAGGACCACAAGGAUAACGAUUUUACAUUUCAUCCCAUGAACAGUACCAUGGGAAAGCUGUUCCUGUUUUUCUGACAAGAAGCUAAGGCCCAGGGAAUAUAAAUAAAUGCUCUAAACCAUAA